This is a long non-coding RNA of Triticum dicoccoides, 606 nucleotides long. RefSeq lists it as uncharacterized. The record is from RefSeq and is a predicted model, not a curated record. The transcript is spliced from 3 exons. NCBI's taxonomy places the organism in Eukaryota, Viridiplantae, Streptophyta, Magnoliopsida, Poales, Poaceae.
GUACGCAACCCCGUCCAUUCCCCUCCCCCGACCCCGAGCGGUCGAGCGCCGCCUCCGCCGGCUUCCGUCGUCGACCACCUCCUGGUGCUGCCGUCGUCAACCACCUCACCGUAGACCACGAAGUCGCAGUACUGGAGGGAAAGAGGAGAAGAGGAGGGAGCGCAGCGCGUGCAGCUGCCUGCCGUCGAGUUGAGGGUCGACCGCCGCCGUCUCCACCUGUCCGCCGUCGACCACCUCCUCGCCGGCUCGCUGCUGUCGAUAAGAGAUGACCACGAAGCUGGAGGAGGGGGAGGAUGUGACUGCACCUGCACGCCGUCUCCCCUGCACCUGUUCGAUCUCCUCUGUCCUCUCCUCUGCAUUAUCCCAUCUCUGACCGAGGUCAAUUUUCUGGUUGUCCUCAACAGAAGAACUGAAGUCAGCAAUAAAAACUCGAAGAUACUUGAACUCUGCCAGAAAAGUUGAAGAGCAUUCGACGGACCUUUUGAAGCUGCCCUGAAAUGGCCUCUUGGUCGUCUAUUACAGUGAUAAAAUUUUCCUCGGCAGACUUGUACAAGAUGAGAUCCAACAACAUAUCAUGUAUUUUGCAAGUUCUCACUGACCCAUCCA